RNAcentral lists this ribosomal RNA (1375 nucleotides) under metagenome. RNAcentral describes it as "bacterial SSU rRNA". It matches the Rfam family "Bacterial small subunit ribosomal RNA". The record is from RNAcentral.
CUCGGUUUGUCUGAGUAGUAGAGCGGCAAACGGGUGAGUAACACGUUGGUACCUACCCCUAACUCAGGAAUAAUUCCGCGAAAGCGGGACUAAUUCCGGAUAGUCCUUGAGAGAAAUCGAAAGGUAAAGCUUCGGCGGUUGGGGAAGGGCCUGCGGCCUAUCAGUUAGUUGGCGGGGUAAUAGCCCACCAAGACUAUGACGGGUAGCUGGUCUGAGAGGAUGGUCAGCCACAGUGGGACUGAGACACGGCCCACACUCCUACGGGAGGCAGCAGUGAGGAAUUUUCCGCAAUGGGCGAAAGCCUGACGGAGCGACAUCGCGUGAAGGAUGAAUCUUUUCGGAGCGUAAACUUCUUUUCUGAUGGAACAAGUUCUGAGUUUACAUCAGGAAUAAGCCCCGGCUAACUACGUGCCAGCAGCCGCGGUAAUACGUAGGGGGCGAGCGUUACCCGGAAUCACUGGGCGUAAAGAGUCUGUAGGCGGUUAUUUAAGUCGGAUAUUAAAUUCUUAAGCUCAACUUAAGAGCCGUAUCCGAAACUGAUUAGCUAGAGAGUUGCAGGGGUGAGUGGAAUUCCCGGUGUAGGGGUGAAAUCCGUUGAUAUCGGGAGGAACACCAAAAGUGAAGACAUCUCACUAGGGUAACUCUGACGCUGAGAGACGAAAGCGUGGGUAGCAAACAGGAUUAGAUACCCUGGUAGUCCUCGCCGUAAACGAUGGAUACUAAGUGUUGGGGGAAUCGAUCCCCCCAGUGCUGUAGCUAACGCGUUAAGUAUCCCGCCUGGGAAGUACGAUCGCAAGAUUAAAACUCAAAUGAAUAGACGGGGACCCACACAAGCGGUGGAGCAUGUUGUUUAAUUCGACGACAAGCGAGAAACCUCACCAAGGCUUGACAUCCCGGGAAUCUCCCAGAAAUGGGGGAGUGCCUUUUGGAACCCGGAGACAGGUGCUGCAUGGUUGUCGUCAGCUCGUGCCUUGAGGUGUUCGGUUAAGUCCGCGAACGAGCGCAACCCUCGCCCUGAUUUAUAUAUUUAUCAGGGGACUACCCUCGCAAGAGGGGGGAAGAUGAGGACGACGUCAAAUCAGCAUGGCCCUUAUGCCUUGGGCUACUAACGUGCUACAAUGGGGUGUACAAUGGGCAGCCAACCCGCGAGGGGGAGCAAAUCCCAUCAAAGCAUCUCUCAGUUCGGAUUGAGGUCUGCAACUCGACCUCAUGAAGCCGGAAUCGCUAGUAAUCGUGAAUCAGUACGUCACGGUGAAUAUGUUCUUGGGUCUUGUACUCACCGCCCGUCACGUCAUGGAAGCUUGGGAACACCCGAAGUCUUCUGUAUUGAGGCCUAAGGUGGAAUCAGUGACUGGGACGAAGUCGUAACAAGGUA